RNAcentral lists this transfer RNA (76 nucleotides) under Chalcopteryx rutilans. RNAcentral's name for it is "tRNA-Ala". The record is from RNAcentral. Lineage: Eukaryota; Metazoa; Arthropoda; Insecta; Odonata; Polythoridae.
AGGAUAGUAGUUAAAAAUAACACUUGAGUUGCAUACAAGAAGUGCUGUAUUAAUAAUUCAAUAGCAGCCUAUCUUA